Molecule: non-coding RNA, 470 nt
Organism: Pelobates cultripes (western spadefoot toad)
Lineage: Eukaryota; Metazoa; Chordata; Amphibia; Anura; Pelobatidae
Source: the annotation of a GenBank genome assembly
AGAAGGUGUCUUCCAGGAACUGGCAGUAGGACUGGGAGUUGAGCUUGACUCCAUCCUCAACCCGAAAAGGCCCCACAAGCUCAUCUUUGAUGAUACCAGCCCAAACCAGUACUCCACCUCCACCUUGCUGGCGUCUGAGUCGGACUGGAGCUCUCUGCCCUUUACCAAUCCAGCCACGGGCCCAUCCAUCUGGCCCAUCAAGACUCACUCUCAUUUCAUCAGUCCAUAAAACCUUAGAAAAAUCAGUCUUGAGAUAUUUCUUGGCCCAGUCUUGACGUUUUAGCUUGUGUGUCUUGUUCAGUGGUGGUCGUCUUUCAGCCUUUCUUACCUUGGCCAUGUCUCUGAGUAUUGCACACCUUGUGCUUUUGGGCACUCCAGUGAUGUUGCAGCUCUGAAAUAUGGCCAAACUGGUGGCAAGUGGCAUCGUGGCAGCUGCACGCUUGACUUUUCUCAGUUCAUGGGCAGUUAUU